CCUACGGGAGGCAGCAGUGAGGAAUAUUGGUCAAUGGACGAGAGCCUGAACCAGCCAAGUAGCGUGAAGGAAGACUGCCCUAUGGGUUGUAAACCUCUUUUAUAUGGGAACAAAAUGCUCCACGCGUGGGAUUCCGUAUGUACCAGAUGAAUAAGGAUCGGCUAACUCCGUGCCAGCAGCCGCGGUAAUACGGAGGAUCCGAGCGUUAUCCGGAUUUAUUGGGUUUAAAGGGGGCGUAGGCGGAUAGUUAAGUCAGUUGUUAAAGUUUGGGGCUCAACCGUAAAAUUGCAGUUGAAACUGGCAGUCUUGAGUGCGGUAGAGGUAGGCGGAAUUCGUGGUGUAGCGGUGAAAUGCUUAGAUAUCACGAAGAACUCCGAUUGCGAAGGCAGCUCACUGGACUUCAACUGACACUGAGGCACGAAAGUGUGGGUAUCGAACAGGAUUAGAUACCCUUGUAGUC
Molecule: ribosomal RNA, 460 nt
Filed under: uncultured bacterium
Lineage: Bacteria
Description: partial 16S ribosomal RNA
Rfam family: Bacterial small subunit ribosomal RNA
Source: RNAcentral